Molecule: ribosomal RNA, 579 nt
Filed under: uncultured bacterium
Lineage: Bacteria
Description: partial 16S ribosomal RNA
Rfam family: Bacterial small subunit ribosomal RNA
Source: RNAcentral
UGGGGAAUUUUGGACAAUGGGCGAAAGCCUGAUCCAGCAAUGCCGCGUGUGUGAAGAAGGCCUUCGGGUUGUAAAGCACUUUUGUCCGGAAAGAAAUCCUUGGCUCUAAUACAGUCGGGGGAUGACGGUACCGGAAGAAUAAGCACCGGCUAACUACGUGCCAGCAGCUGCGGUAAUACGUAGGGUGCAAGCGUUAAUCGGAAUUACUGGGCGUAAAGCGUGCGCAGGCGGUUUGCUAAGACCGAUGUGAAAUCCCCGGGCUCAACCUGGGAACUGCAUUGGUGACUGGCAGGCUAGAGUAUGGCAGAGGGGGGUAGAAUUCCACGUGUAGCAGUGAAAUGCGUAGAGAUGUGGAGGAAUACCGAUGGCGAAGGCAGCCCCCUGGGCCAAUACUGACGCUCAUGCACGAAAGCGUGGGGAGCAAACAGGAUUAGAUACCCUGGUAGUCCACGCCCUAAACGAUGUCAACUAGUUGUUGGGGAUUCAUUUCCUUAGUAACGUAGCUAACGCGUGAAGUUGACCGCCUGGGGAGUACGGUCGCAAGAUUAAAACUCAAAUGAAUUGACGGGGUCAUAGCUG